CUGUGGAAUUGGUAAGACGAUCGGCUCAUGUCUUCGGAUGUGCCCCGAUAUGAACCUUCCCGUGCUUUUUAGAACAAGAUCGGAUCAGUCAGAUCACGAUCGCAACGUAAUACGCCGCGUAGACUUCGGUCACGACGGUAUGGCGAGCUGCGCCGUCCACGUUUCUCUUUCUUCAAGAAGACAAAGAACCGCGUCGAUCCGGAUAGUUUUUACUGUCUGGACCGGUUUGACGAGAAUGGGCCCGUAGCUCAGUUGGUUAGAGCACACGCUUGAUAAGCGUGGGGUCGGAAGUUCAAGUCUUCCCGGGCCCACCAGCCUUCGCCCUUAUGGGCUAUGGCUUGGCGAGCCGGGAAAAGACGGUGACGCGGAAGUUGCCGAACCCUGGUUUAAGAUCGGGGCGAUCGAGCUGAUGGGGCUGUAGCUCAGCUGGGAGAGCACCUGCUUUGCAAGCAGGGGGUCAGCGGUUCGAUCCCGCUCAGCUCCACCAAAUCGAUUGGUGUCGAGACUGACGGCAUGUUGUCUUUUGAAGAAGUAAAGGUUUUGCAUCGGCUUUAGAGCCUGAUGCCUGUUCUGCAUACAUUGUGAAGAGAAGAUUGAUCUGGAGGCUUCCAGGUGUUUUGGGUUUUGGCCCGAAACGUCCGAGCCCAGUUCUGAUGAUCCCUUGGAUGGCCUAGCCGGCCGGAUAUGGGUGAAGGACUGGAGGUAGGAAGGAAGCUUGUCGCUCUGGGUCGUUGUUGUUUGCGGUCCUUCUGGGCUGCAUCUGACGGACGACUUGAUUGACGUUGCCUGACCGCGCGUCACCGGAUUUAAUCUCGAGAAGCUGGUCUUAAGAUAGACUGCAAGCGGGCUGCUCGGCGUAGCUCCAAUAAAGCAGAUCUAUCGAACACGUCGAUGGCAUUGUUAGAAAGCGUGAUUGUAAAAGGUAAUCACGCAUUGUUGGUCUGGUAGCUGAGAGGCUUCCGGACUUUGACUGGUUCGACAUACUGAGAAGUAUCUGGCUGGUCAGAUUUGGAACCCCUUCGAGCGCAAGCGAGGAGGAUAGGAAUUCCAAAUCCAACAAAGACGAUGAGCAUUGGCAAUGAGAACGAUCAAGUGUCGUAAGGGUAUUUAGUGGAUGCCUAGGCAUGCACAGGCGAUGAAGGACGUGAUACGCUGCGAAAA
This 1161-nucleotide transfer RNA is filed under the name Martinezella tropici. Its description in RNAcentral is "Rhizobium tropici partial 16S-23S ribosomal RNA intergenic spacer". The stretch from base 238 to 311 matches the Rfam family "tRNA". Lineage: Bacteria; Pseudomonadati; Pseudomonadota; Alphaproteobacteria; Hyphomicrobiales; Rhizobiaceae. The record is from RNAcentral.